UACGGGGGGGGCAAGCGUUGUUCGGAAUUACUGGGCGUAAAGGGCUCGUAGGCGGCCAACUAAGUCAGACGUGAAAUCCCUCGGCUUAACCGGGGAACUGCGUCUGAUACUGGAUGGCUUGAAUCCGGGAGAGGGAUGCGGAAUUCCAGGUGUAGCGGUGAAAUGCGCAGAUAUCAGGAGGAACACCGGUGGCGAAGGCGGCUUGCUGGGCCUUACCUGACGCUGAGGAGCGAAAGCGUGGGGAGCGAACAGG
Molecule: ribosomal RNA, 253 nt
Filed under: uncultured bacterium
Lineage: Bacteria
Description: partial 16S ribosomal RNA
Rfam family: Bacterial small subunit ribosomal RNA
Source: RNAcentral